Molecule: ribosomal RNA, 253 nt
Filed under: uncultured bacterium
Lineage: Bacteria
Description: partial 16S ribosomal RNA
Rfam family: Bacterial small subunit ribosomal RNA
Source: RNAcentral
UACGAAGGUGGCAAGCGUUGUUCGGAUUUACUGGGCGUACAGGGAGCGUAGGCGGUUGGAUAAGCCCUCCGUGAAAUCUCCAGGCUUAACCUGGAAAGUGCAGAGGGGACUGUUCAGCUAGAGGAUGGGAGAGGAGCGCGGAAUUCCAGGUGUAGCGGUGAAAUGCGUAGAUAUCUGGAGGAAUACCGGUGGCGAAGGCGGCAUCCUGGACCGACAUUGACGCUGAUGAGCGAAAGCCAGGGGAGCAAACGGG